AGAAUCAGCUCCCCUGCCUCUCUCUGCCUCUCUCCGUCGCUCUGGCCAAAUCAUAUAUAUGGUCCCAUCGGGAAGAUGAGCCGAUCGUCCCUCCAUUUCUCUCGCACUGAAACCGUCCCCUCUCGCCCUUAACCUUUCACCUUCUCCUUUGCUUAAAAGAGCAAAAAAGAAGGGGAAAAAACAAGAGACAAAAACUUCACUCCUUUCUCUCUGCUAAGCCGCCAUCAGGAUGCUCUGCUCUGCUCUCUCUCUCUCUCUCUCUCCCUCUGCCGGCCGCAAACGUCCCCUCGCUGACAUACAGCAGCUAGGCUAGGCUGACCCUGUGAAAACAGAGUCCACUCAGAACGAAGUCCUUUAUCCAGCGGUUUCUUUCUUGCUUUGCUUUCUGCCCGGGUAAUGCCUCAUCGCAGUCUCUGUUUGCGCGACCUGUUUCCUUCUUCCACAGAGUAGUCGAGAGCUAGAGCUUGAUUGCAUUUGGCUUUCCUCGCGGAGACUUUUGGUUUAAUCCGAACCGAUGGCAGCGAAAGACGCAGAUUUCUCUCCUCACAAGCUCCCAUCUCCUUCUCAGGUCGUUGAAGAGCUAAAAGAACUGUUAGGCAUGGUGUUCCCCAUCACGGCCAUGAACUUACUAGCCUUCGUCCGACAAGUAGUGUCGGUCUUGUUCUUGGGUCGUCUCGGAAGCUUAGAGCUCGCAGGAGGAGCACUGUCCAUCGGCUUCACCAACAUCACGGGCUACUCUGUUCUGGCCGGCCUAGCUUCAGGGCUCGAGCCGGUCUGCGCUCAGGCCUACGGGAGCAAGAACUGGGACCUCCUCGCCCUCUCCCUCCAACGGAUGGUGCUGAUCCUCCUGAUCGCGAUCGUGCCCAUCGGCCUCCUCUGGGUCAACCUCGAGCCCAUCAUGGUCUUCAUGGGCCAGGACAGGCACAUCACUUCCAUGGCCGCCACGUACUGCAUGUUCUCCCUCCCCGACCUUCUCACCAACACCCUCUUGCAGCCCCUGAGGGUCUUCCUCCGGUCCCAGGGCAUCGCCAAGCCCAUGAUGUACUGCUCCCUCGCCGCCGUCGCGCUCCACGUGCCGCUCAACUACGUGCUCGUGGUGGGUGCGGGGAUGGGUGUGCCGGGGGUGGCGGUGGCCUCCGUGCUUACGAACGUGAACAUGGUUGUACUGAUGGCAGCGUACGUGUACGUGUCGGGGCGGCGCGAGAUUCGGUGGACGGCCGGGUUUAGGCGGGUCUGCGACGGGCUGGGACCGUUGAUGAGGCUAGCGGUGCCAAGCUGCCUGGGGAUUUGCCUGGAGUGGUGGUGGUACGAGAUUUUGACGGUCCUGUCGGGGUACUUGCCGAACCCCACGGUGGCGGUGGCUGCCACCGGGGUUCUGAUCCAAACUACCAGCAUGAUGUACACUGUGCCCAUGGCCCUAGCUGGUUGUGUUUCUGCCAGGGUAGGAAACGAGCUCGGGGCUGGCAAGCCAUACAAGGCCAAAUUAGCAGCCCUGGUCGCAUUGGGAUGUGCAUUCAUUAUGGGCAUCGUCAACGUCACAUGGACGAUUCUCCUCAGAAAGAAAUGGGCGAGCUUCUUCACAAAAGACGAGCUGCUCAAGGCGCUGGUUGCUUCCGUCAUGCCAAUCAUGGGCCUCUGCGAGCUCGGCAACUGCCCCCAGACGACUGGGUGCGGCAUCCUGCGCGGCACGGCGAGGCCUGCCGUGGGCGCCCGCAUCAACCUGGGGUCGUUCUACUUUGUGGGCACCCCUGUGGCCGUGGGGCUGGCCUUCUGGCUCAAGGUGGGGUUCAGCGGGCUGUGGUUCGGGCUGCUGUCGGCCCAGGCGGUGUGCGCCGUGUCCAUCCUCUACAAUGUGCUGGGUCGCACCGACUGGGAAGGCGAGGCCUUGAAGGCGAAGAAGCUAGCCGCCGUUGAGAUGGGAUCUUCAAAUGGAGGAGCCGGAGCGGAGGGUGGCGAGGGCGAAGAGGCUACAGGGUUGUUAAUGAAGGGAGAUGAAGUGUAAAGUCACCUGAGCUCUUUUGGAGGAGUGCGGUUGGAAGCAGAGAAGCAGAGGAGAAAAAACAACGUUUUUGCGGGGACGGUAGAUUUCUCCGAGGUUGUUUCUUUCCCUUUCGCAAGCCACUUUUUGCCCGGGCCGCGACUUGAUCUGUAAUUGCAUUGCGUAUAUUUGAUCGCCCCUGAACUCAGCGAGUCCUUUGACGUGGGAGCACACCAGCCAUCAGACUCGAUGUGAAAUGCUUGAAUGAACCUCAAUAGAAACGGUGGCGCCAUUGCAUGGAUUGAAGGCAGUUUCAUGUCUAGACCUUGCCUGUAAUGGAUCGAGUGAAUCAUAAUUUGCGAUGGAUGUCCCGUUAUCUAAAGACAAUGAUUGCGUGAUCCAUGAACUUCAAGCUUGGUUUAUUCCCUUUCCUUUUGUGAGGAAGACAAAAGGAACAUAUUCAUGCUGGCCAAAUUCGUUUUGUCACGGAGUGAAGUGGGCGUGGGUGCUCCUGUAGGAAAGAGGCUUUCUAGAUUUGAGUGGAUGGGGAAGAUCACUAGUGGCUUUUUGGAAUUGCGAUACUUCCAUUUGGGGGCCCUACUUCCAUUUGGUCAUUAGAAUUUGGCACAAGUGCCUUCGGCACCCCACUUCGCCGUCGGCCAACAACACAUGGCUUCAAAUCCUAAAUACCCUCUCUCUCUCUCUCUCCUUCACUUACCAAUUCCUAAACUUAUUAAGCCUAGUGGUCAUUAUUGGUUCAGUGAUCAAGUGCUCCGUCUUUUCUUUAAAGAGAUUGUAAAUUUGAGCUGUUGUGCACUUGAGCACUAUAAUCUUGUGGAGAGAGUCGCAAGUUAUGAACGUGCAAGGGGAACUGCUAUUGGCAAGCUCGGCAACCUUAACUCUCAAGAUAUGGAUAGUGUCCAGUAGUUAUAGCUUUUGAGAGGUGUGUGCAAUUGUAUGAUGGUUUGUAAUGAAUCAAACUCUCACAUCAGAUAUGCACGAAUAAACUAAACAACUCAUAUUGUCA
RNA transcript from Eucalyptus grandis, 3005 nucleotides. It is a transcript of the gene named protein DETOXIFICATION 54, with no coding region annotated. The record is from RefSeq and is a predicted model, not a curated record. The transcript has 6 exons. NCBI's taxonomy places the organism in Eukaryota, Viridiplantae, Streptophyta, Magnoliopsida, Myrtales, Myrtaceae.